UUUCCGUAGGUGAACCUGCGGAAGGAUCAUUAAAGAGUAAGGGUGCUCAGCGCCCGACCUCCAACCCUUUGUUGUUAAAACUACCUUGUUGCUUUGGCGGGACCGCUCGGUCUCGAGCCGCUGGGGAUUCGUCCCAGGCGAGCCCCCGCCAGAGUUACACCAAACUCUUGUUAUUUAACCGGUCGUCUGAGUUAAAAUUUUGAAUAAAUCAAAACUUUCAACAACGGAUCUCUUGGUUCUC
This 241-nucleotide unclassified non-coding RNA is filed under the name plant metagenome. RNAcentral's name for it is "partial contains small subunit ribosomal RNA, internal transcribed spacer 1, and 5.8S ribosomal RNA". The record is from RNAcentral.